AACGAACGCUGGCGGCAUGCCUAACACAUGCAAGUCGAACGAGACCUUCGGGUCUAGUGGCGCACGGGUGCGUAACGCGUGGGAACCUGCCCUUAGGUUCGGAAUAACUCCCCGAAAGGGGUGCUAAUACCGGAUAAUGUCUUCGGACCAAAGAUUUAUCGCCUUUGGAUGGGCCCGCGUUGGAUUAGCUAGUUGGUAGGGUAAAAGCCUACCAAGGCGACGAUCCAUAGCUGGUCUGAGAGGAUGAUCAGCCACACUGGGACUGAGACACGGCCCAGACUCCUAGGAGAGGCAGCAGUGGGGAAUAUUGGACAAUGGGCGAAAGCCUGAUCCAGCAAUGCCGCGUGAGUGAUGAAGGCCUUAGGGUUGUAAAGCUCUUUUACCCGGGAUGAUAAUGACAGUACCGGGAGAAUAAGCUCCGGCUAACUCCGUG
This 433-nucleotide ribosomal RNA is filed under the name uncultured bacterium. Its description in RNAcentral is "partial 16S ribosomal RNA". It matches the Rfam family "Bacterial small subunit ribosomal RNA", at positions 29 to 507 of the family's 1533-position model. The record is from RNAcentral.